This 364-nucleotide unclassified non-coding RNA is filed under the name soil metagenome. RNAcentral's name for it is "partial contains 5.8S ribosomal RNA, internal transcribed spacer 2, and large subunit ribosomal RNA". The stretch from base 1 to 120 matches the Rfam family "5.8S ribosomal RNA", at positions 35 to 154 of the family's 154-position model. The record is from RNAcentral.
GAUGAAGAACGUAGCGAAAUGCGAUAAGUAAUGUGAAUUGCAGAAUUCAGUGAAUCAUCGAAUCUUUGAACGCACAUUGCGCCCGCCAGCAUUCUGGCGGGCAUGCCUGUUCGAGCGUCAUUUCAACCCUCGCAGCCCAUCUGGGCAGCGGUGUUGGGGACCGGCACCACCGGCGAAGCCCUUAGGGGCCCAGCCGGCGCCGCCCCCGAAAUACAGUGGCGGUCUCGCUGCAGCCUCCCUUGCGUAGUAGCACACCUCGCACCGGAGCGCAGCGCGGCCACGCCGUAAAACCCCGACUUUCUGAGUUUGACCUCGAAUCAGGUAGGAAUACCCGCUGAACUUAAGCAUAUCAAUAAGCGGAGGA